This 406-nucleotide ribosomal RNA is filed under the name uncultured bacterium. Its description in RNAcentral is "partial 16S ribosomal RNA". It matches the Rfam family "Bacterial small subunit ribosomal RNA", at positions 30 to 526 of the family's 1533-position model. The record is from RNAcentral.
AUUGAACGCUGGCGGCAGGCCUAACACAUGCAAGUCGAACGAGUGGCGGACGGGUGAGGAAUGGCUGGGAAACUGCCUGAUGGAGGGGGAUAACUACUGGAAAAGGUAGCUAAUACCGCAUACCAUCGGAUGUGCCCAGAUGGGAUUAGCUAGUAGGUGGGGUAAAGGCUCACCUAGGCGAAGAUCCCUAGCUGGUCUGAGAGGAUGACCAGCCCCACUGGAACUGAGACACGGUCCAGACGCCUACGGGGUUCAGCAGUGGGGAAUAUUGCACAAUGGGCGCAAGCCUGAUGCAGCCAUGCCGCGUGUAUGAAGAAGGCCUUCGGGUUGUAAAGUACUUUCAUCGGGGAGUCGUUACCCGCAGAAGAAGCACCGGCUAACUCCGUGCCAGCAGCCGCGGUAAUAC